This 65-nucleotide transfer RNA is filed under the name Erinaceus europaeus (western European hedgehog). It matches the Rfam family "tRNA". From Rfam's summary of the family: Transfer RNA (tRNA) molecules are approximately 80 nucleotides in length. Their secondary structure includes four short double-helical elements and three loops (D, anti-codon, and T loops). The record is from Rfam by way of RNAcentral. Lineage: Eukaryota; Metazoa; Chordata; Mammalia; Eulipotyphla; Erinaceidae.
GGUGGCUCAGUGGGUAGAGCACAUCCCUUCCAUGCAUGAGGCCCUGGGUUUGACCCCCAACACCA